Labrus mixtus (cuckoo wrasse) is the source of this 2468-nucleotide long non-coding RNA. RefSeq lists it as uncharacterized. NCBI's taxonomy places the organism in Eukaryota, Metazoa, Chordata, Actinopteri, Labriformes, Labridae. The record is from RefSeq and is a predicted model, not a curated record. The transcript has 2 exons.
GUGGAAAACAUGCAUGACACCUGCCUGCACGACAAACUUGAUAUUGAAUUUUUGCCCAAACCAUGACGAGUUAAAUCUGAUCAUAGACAAUCUCCAGUGAUAAUGGAGCACAAACUACUCUGCAAACUACUUUCUAUUACAUCAUCAAACUACUUCCUGCUUUUGUACCAGACUAAAGCAGUCUUUCAACCCUUUCUCUUUAAACUGUUACCUCUCAGAUAUUUGUCCUUGAAUGCACCAUCACCCACAGACUUCUAAACAUGGAUGAAAAAAAACCAAGGGUGAUUAAAUCUUUUAUUGCGAUGAAUUAUCAGUCUGCAGCAGGUUUCUCGUCUCGUUAUAAGAACCGAACAGAAAGCAGAAAGAAAAGCUGCCUGCGAGGAAUGAAAUCAAUCUAAGAGCUGACGUUUGUUUGGGCAAUUAAGUGUACAAAUUUGUAGGUAAUCCAUCUAUUAAUUUCUUUCCUCAUCCGUCCAUCCAUCCAUCUUUUCUCCCCCCCAAACGCUUCAUUCUCCCACCAUUUACACCCUGCCUCCAUCCAUCCAUCCCUCCCUCCAUUCAUCUCUCCAUCUGCUCCCCUCCCCCUCCCCCCAGCAGUGUGUGUGUGUGUGUGUGUGUGUGUGUGUGUGUGUGUGUGUGUGUGUGUGUGUGUGUUUCUGCUAAAGGCUGUCAGGCAGCGAUGGCGUUUUGGCUGAGCUGCUGUUUGUGGAUCUAUUUCUGGGGGCAUUUCAGCGGCGAUAGGCAUCUGGAGGAGACCAAAUUAAUUUCCAGGUAGAGGGAGGGAGAGCGAGCGAGAGAGAGAGAGAGAGCGAGAGAGAGAGAGAGGAUUGGGGUGGGGGGAGGAUGAGGACAGACUUCAUAGCCGGCUGCACAAGUGCUCCCACUAUCAGUACACCACAGCGGCUGUGGAGAGGAGGAUGAUGGAGAGAUGAUGGAGAGAGGAGGACCGGACGAGAGAGAUCGAGCAGAGAGGACGGAGAGAAAAACAGGGAGGGGGGGUUACAAAAGGUGAGAAAGCGAGAGGCGACAUUUUAAACGGUAAGGCAGAGAAAGGGAGGACAAUAAUAUGACGCAUGUCUGCAACUUUCCUCCCAUCAAACAGAGCAGCAGUUUAAUCAGGACUCCCUUUAAAAACACAGUAUCUCACCUGCAUGUAGGCGGGGCUCUGCAGGACUCAGCAGAGAGCACCCUGACCUGUCGCUGCAGCUUCCUCACUGUCACACAAGAGGCCUUUUUUUUUUUUAGUGUUUUCACACAUGCAGAUAAAUCCAGAAGGUUUGCAUUCACGCAUGUGUGAAUGCAAACGGACUAAAUUCUCACCUUGACUUUCCCUGGACGUUUUCCUGCCAGACCUCUAGUAAAAUGUCCUGUCCAAUGAUGUGAGCCGAUGUGGGAAUGUAGCAGAUAAAAAGUCAUGAAAAUUCACACAAGUUGGUUGGAGGUGGUGGUGACGUUUGUAUCCUGCAACCGGUGCGAUCUGUCUUCUGUUCACCAGCAUGUUCUUCUGUGCUCUUUGUUGAUGCGGUUCAGGAGUAAAUACAUGGAAACCUCCUGUGAAAACUAAAAUAUAAAGUCAGUUCCAGCCUUGGAAGCCAUCAGCAAUCGUCAUCUAAUAGAUGAUAUGACAUCUGGACGCCAACUUCUCAGUGAUUCCUGUAAAGCUAGAGGUUAGAGUACAUGACCUCCGAACAUCUUUUCAGUCAAGUGUAAAAUCCUGCAGUUCCUCGAGUGUCCUCUAGAGGCUGGCUGCAGAAGCACAGGAAGUCACAUACACACCCAUUCUAAAAAGCCUGUUUUUACAGCAGAGAUUAACAUGUUUACAGCCUGGUUCAAAAAAACAAACAGAUCAGAUUAACUCAUGUCUCGAUCGGCACACACUGUAGAAAUCUCACAUUGUCUUCCUUCUGUGGGGUUUUAAAUUCAGCUUUUUCAAGUCUAUUUUUUAUAGAUUUAAUAUUCAGAAUUUUAAUAUUCAGCAUGAACCAAACUGAGUGUAAUGUCAGAAUCUCUGUUAAAAGUAUGAACGAGAAAAAUAAAACAUGAGAAAAAGACGGACGGACAAAGAGGAGAGAGAGAGAGAGAGAGAGAAGCUGCAGAGCGAGAGAGUAAAAGUGUGAGAGAUUUGGAGGCCUGAGCUGCUGGUAGUGUUGGCUAACUUUCAGAAACAACAGAAAAAACCACAAAGCACAAAGUUGGCUUUGUCUCCAAAAACACCCCCCCCCCCUCUCUCCCCUCUUUCUCCCCAGGGGCAAAAUAACACAACAAAAUGUCCCAUUACCCCAUUCUGAUGAGCGAGAGACGGGCAGAGAGAGAGAGAGAGCGAGAGAGAGAGAGAGGGGCCUGGUCUGUGGCUUUGGCAGCUGCUCGGUGGUCUGGUGGUUUCUGUGGAGCGGCUCGGCCAGAUCCUGACGUGUUGUUAGGAAACAGCUCGAGACGUUUAAACACCCCGGUUGAAAAAAGGAAAAAGG